GCCUUACACUUGAUCUCUGAACUGCAGGUAAGUUCACUUGUUGACAAAUUUACAUUACUGAUGCA
Molecule: small nucleolar RNA, 65 nt
Organism: Vitis vinifera (wine grape)
Lineage: Eukaryota; Viridiplantae; Streptophyta; Magnoliopsida; Vitales; Vitaceae
Rfam family: Small nucleolar RNA snoR101
Source: Rfam